UACGAAGGGGGCGAGCGUUGUUCGGAUUUACUGGGCGUAAAGGGCGCGCAGGCGGCAGAUCAAGUCAGAUGUGAAAGCCCCGGGCUUAACCUGGGAACUGCAUUUGGGACUGGUUUGCUAGAGAUCGGGAGAGGAGAGUGGAAUUCCCAGUGUAGAGGUGAAAUUCGUAGAUAUUGGGAAGAACACCGGUGGCGAAGGCGGCUCUCUGGACCGAUACUGACGCUGAGGCGCGAAAGCGUGGGGAGCGAACAGG
Molecule: ribosomal RNA, 253 nt
Filed under: uncultured bacterium
Lineage: Bacteria
Description: partial 16S ribosomal RNA
Rfam family: Bacterial small subunit ribosomal RNA
Source: RNAcentral